AUUGAACGCUGGCGGCAGGCCUAACACAUGCAAGUCGAACGAGUGGCGGUCGGGUGAGUACUGACUGGGAAACUGCCCGAUGGUAGGCGCUCACUACUGGUAAAGGUACCUAAUACCGCCUACCAUCGGAUCUGCCCCGAUGUGAUUAGCUAGUAGGUGGGGUAACGGCUCACCUAGGCGACGAUCCCUAGCUGGGCUGAGAGGAUGACCCGCCACACUGGAACUGAGACACGGUCCAGACUCCUACGGGAGGCAGCAGUGGGGAAUAUUGCACAAUGGGCGCAAGCCUGAUGCAGCCAUGCCGCGUGUAUGAAGAAGGCCUUCGGGUUGUAAAGUACUUUCAGCGAGGAGGCGUUACUCGCAGAAGAAGCACCGGCUAACUCCGUGCCAGCAGCCGCGGUAAUUC
This 406-nucleotide ribosomal RNA is filed under the name uncultured bacterium. Its description in RNAcentral is "partial 16S ribosomal RNA". It matches the Rfam family "Bacterial small subunit ribosomal RNA", at positions 30 to 526 of the family's 1533-position model. The record is from RNAcentral.